Molecule: long non-coding RNA, 3015 nt
Organism: Equus caballus (horse)
Lineage: Eukaryota; Metazoa; Chordata; Mammalia; Perissodactyla; Equidae
Source: Ensembl
GUAGAAAUAAUAACCAUAGCUUCACUGUCUUGAGCUGUGCCCAAGUAAUUCAUCAUCUAAAGAAGAACGCUUUUGGGAAUAAUAAACAGGCACUAUUAAUAAUGACGCCAGGAGGGCAGAACUGGGUGUACGGCAGGGAACUGGGGAUGCCAGCCCCCUACUCAUGUGGGCACACAGUGUGUACCCGACUGGAGCCGCUGUAAACACGCCUUCACCCUCAGAGUAGAAGGAUAUCCUGAUUUUACAGACGAAGAAACAGCCUCCCCCGAGAAGUCACCUGCCCAUACAUUCACCCAGGAAAGAAGUGGAGGAGCCAGGAUUUUUACGCAGGGCUUUUUUUUUUCAAUUUAUUUUUUUUUGAGGAAUAUUAGCCCUGAGCUACCAUCUGCCACCAAUCCUCCUCUUUUUGUUGAGGAAGACUGGCCCUGAGCUAACACCCGUGCCCAUCUUCCUCCACUUUAUAUGUGGGACCCCUCCCACAGCAUGGCUUGCCAAGCGGGGCCAUGUCCGCACCCGGGAUCUGAACCGGAGAACCCGGGGCCGCCGAAGCGGAAUGUGCGCACUUAAAGACUGGGCAAUCCAGCCGGCCCCUACGCAGGACCUUUGCACUCCCAAAUCCAAGAGGGGGGUUAUUAUGCUCUACUGAGAUCAGGUUGAAAGACUCGCCUUUAGGGUUGUUGUACCGCUAAAAUGUAUUCAAGUUGUCUGAAGCAGGGGCUCCACAAAAGGGGAAGUAUUACCGCCGUGAUUAGUGAGAACUGAAGAAAGCACUCCCUGUGUCAGCACUGGGAUCAGGCGAAAGUCACUGUGCUGCUCGUUCCAGAAAAUAUCUGCUCCUGGAAGAUAAGCUGAUGCAUCACCUCUCACUUCAAACCCCCUCCCUGGGCCACCGUCCCAGAGCACUUCGGUCAGAAACACCGCCCAACCCUGACCAGCCCGCUGCCUCCAAGACGCAGCCAGGGCCCUAAAACCCUAUAAACACCAUCCCCUGAUUUCUCGAAUUCGAGGCUCUGUUGAAGUGAUGUUGUCCUUUACCACAGGAGGUCUAAGAAACCUGGUUUUGUUCGAUCGACAGGUUUUUCUAGUGGAAUUAAACCAAGGGAUAAAGGUCGAGGAUGACAUUCAAAAAUGCUUUUUGUUACUAUUCUACGAAAUGGAAAUCACCAAAUGGACUAGACACAAUAAUGGCCUCCAAAAGACGCCCACGUCCAAAUCCUUGGACUGUGAAUGCGUCACCUUACACCGCUCAAGGGACCUCACGGAUGUGACUAAGGAAAGGAUGUUGAGAUGGGAGAUAAUCCUGGACGAGCCGGGGGGAGGGGGCCCAGUGUCAUCACAAGGGUCCUUGUAAGCGGGAGGCAGGAGAUCAGAGUCCGUGGGAGGAGACGUGAGCAUGGAAGCAGAGUUUGAGUGAUGGCUUUAAAGAAGCAGGAAGGGACCCUGAGCCAAGGAAUGCAGGCGCCUCUAGAAGUUGGAAAUGGCAAAGAACGGAUUUCCCCGGAAAGCCUCCAGAAGGAACAGCUCUGCCGACCCCUUUCACACAUCUGCCUUCCAGAACUGUAGGAGAAUAAAUGUGUGUUAAGUCACUGGUUUGUGGUAAUCUGUUACAGCAGCCGUAGGAAACACAUACACCAAACAUUCAAGGGAGAGAAACUACGUGAUAGUCGUCAGUAGAGAACAGCAGUAAGGCCCACAGCCUGGAGCCAGACUUCCUGGGUUCCAAUUCCCCCCUGCCCCCCCCCCCCCCCAUCACUUCCAGGCUGGGCGACACUGGCUGAUUACUAAGUAACUCUCUGAGCUUCAGUCUUUCCAUUUAGAAACCAAGGAUGAUACAAGGAGCUGCCUGCCAAGUUACUGCGGUGAUGAGAUGAGAGCUAACGGAUCGUGAGCCUGGUGCAGUGCCUGGCACACAGCACGGGCUGCAGACCUCCCAGCACUGAGGUUAGAGAUGCAGCAAUGGCUCUGCCUUCCUUUCCUCAGGAGAGAGUGGAGGAAAGGGCCCCAGUCGUCGGGCUAACCGGGGGAAUCUGCCAUGCCAUUGCUGUACAUAACUGCUACGAACUCAUCCUUCUGACACUUCAUUUCUUAACUGACACAUCCAGUUGUAUAUCCUGCAAAAACGAUUUCCAUGGAUACACUGCAUGUUUAUCUAAGUGGCUAUAUAUAUGGAAUAUGUUUUGCAUGAGUGUGAAGCAAGGUGCAGAAGGACACAUGUCAGGCAGAGGGAAAGAGAAGAGCUGCGAGGUCGAGGACACUGUGAGAGGAUGACCCAAGGCACAGACAGGCUGUGAGUGGACACAGGGAGCCCAGCAGCUGGACACUCCAGGAAGGUUGCCCAAUCAAGCCACUCAGAAAAACAACACCCAUCAGCCACACACAGGAGAGUCCACAAAAGCCUGCGAAGCGACAGUCUCAUUUCUCGCUGGUUUUUUCUGGAGAGAUGAGCGCGUUGCUGUCUCCACGAUUCAGGUUGAAGGCAAGAUGGCCACCAUGCUUCCAGGCAUCUUACCUAGUCACCAGAAAGAAGAGCAGGAAUGCAUCUUUCUCUGGGUGUCUUAUUUAGAAGGAAGGAAUCCUUUCCCAGAGGCCCCUCAGCACCCAUCUGCCUCCUUAUCCUACUGCCCACCAUUGCAUCCCAUGCUCCUGGGAGGGAGACGGCCACCAUGACAGAUUAAUCUCAGAUUGAUCGAGAUUCACCCCCUAGAGGCACUUGUCCAGCGUGGCAGCCAGAACAAAAUCAGUGCUCUCUUAGAGAAGGGGAAGAGAAGAACGGAUGUUGAGUUGGCAAAUUGUACUCCUCCUUAUUCUACUAAUAAGGGUUGGGAAACUUUCUCCUAUAGUGUUAUUGGUGUUUAUGUCCUUAAACGUGGGCUGCUGGCUCCGGUUUGUUUGCUAAGAUUUCUCAACUCUCUAAGGACCAUGUAUCAUUUUAUAAUAAGACCAACACAAAAAUUCAAAUAAACUCUAAAGUCCAAAAUUUUUUAAAAGGCAGUGCAAUAAAUUUGAAAAAUGAGC